GCUCCGUUGGUGAACCAGCGGAGGGAUCAUUACCGAGUUCUUCUACUCCCAAACCCCUGUGAACUUAUACCUUUACUGUUGCUUCGGCGGGUUAACGCCCCGGAAGGCCCAAAAAGCCGCCGGAACCAGGCGCCCGCCGGGGGACCCAAACUCUUGUAUUUCUUACUUUGCAUGUCUGAGUGGAAUCAUAAACAAAUGAAUCAAAACUUUCAACAACGGAUCUCUUGGUUCUG
Molecule: unclassified non-coding RNA, 233 nt
Filed under: plant metagenome
Description: partial contains small subunit ribosomal RNA, internal transcribed spacer 1, and 5.8S ribosomal RNA
Source: RNAcentral